UACGUAGGGUGCAAGCGUUAAUCGGAAUUACUGGGCGUAAAGGGUUUGUAGGUGGCUGAUUAAGUCAGACGUGAAAUCCCUCAGCUUAACUGGGGAACUGCGUCUGAUACUGGUUAGCUUGAGUGCAGGAGAGGAACGCGGAAUUCCAGGUGUAGCGGUGAAAUGCGUAGAUAUCUGGAGGAACACCGGUGGCGAAGGCGGCAUCCUGGACCAACACUGACGCUGAGUGAGCGAAAGCCAGGGGAGCAAACGGG
RNAcentral lists this ribosomal RNA (254 nucleotides) under uncultured bacterium. RNAcentral's name for it is "partial 16S ribosomal RNA". It matches the Rfam family "Bacterial small subunit ribosomal RNA", at positions 524 to 776 of the family's 1533-position model. The record is from RNAcentral.